Eriocheir sinensis (Chinese mitten crab) is the source of this 234-nucleotide long non-coding RNA. RefSeq lists it as uncharacterized. The record is from RefSeq and is a predicted model, not a curated record. The transcript has 2 exons. NCBI's taxonomy places the organism in Eukaryota, Metazoa, Arthropoda, Malacostraca, Decapoda, Varunidae.
UGCCUACCCUGCAAGCUUGGGAAUGGGGUAACCUGGUUAGUUUAGGUUUGAUUCUUUCAAAUAUUCAAUCAAACAGUAUGUUAGUUUAGGUUUGAUUCUUUCAAAUAUUCAAUCAAACAGUAUGUUAGUUUAGGUUUGAUUCUUUCAAAUAUUCAAUCAAACAGUAUGUUAGUUUAGGUUUGAUUCUUUCAAAUAUUCAAUCAAACAGUAUACUAUGUUAGCUAUAAUUCAAUC